CCUACGGGCGGCAGCAGUGGGGAAUAUUGCACAAUGGGGGAAACCCUGAUGCAGCGACGCCGCGUGAGCGAAGAAGUAUUUCGGUAUGUAAAGCUCUAUCAGCAGGGGAGAAAAUGACGGUACCUGACUAAGAAGCAACGGCUAAAUACGUGCCAGCAGCCGCGGUAACACGCAUGGAGCAAGCGUUAUCCGGAUUUACUGGGUGUUAAGGGGGCGUAGGCGGUAAGGUAGGUCUGAUGUGAAAGGCCAGGGCUCAACCCUGGGACUGCAUUGGAAACUGUUUAACUGGAGUGUCGGUGCGGCAAGUGGAAUUCCUGGUGUAGCGGUGAAAUGCGUAGAUAUUAGGAGGAACACCAAUGGCGAAGGCGGCUUGCUGGACGAUGACUGACGCUGAGGCUCGAAAGCGUGGGGAGCAAACAGGAUUAGAUACCCCUGUAGUC
This 440-nucleotide ribosomal RNA is filed under the name uncultured bacterium. RNAcentral's name for it is "partial 16S ribosomal RNA". It matches the Rfam family "Bacterial small subunit ribosomal RNA", at positions 338 to 795 of the family's 1533-position model. The record is from RNAcentral.